Molecule: small nuclear RNA, 111 nt
Organism: Trichosurus vulpecula (common brushtail)
Lineage: Eukaryota; Metazoa; Chordata; Mammalia; Diprotodontia; Phalangeridae
Source: RefSeq, a predicted model, not a curated record
AUGCCCACUUUAGGGGCACACAUACUAAAAUUGGAAUAGAGAGCAGAGCAUAAAAUUAGCAUGGCCCUUCACAAGAAUGACACACAAAUUCAUAAAGAGUGGCAUACUUCU